This 476-nucleotide ribosomal RNA is filed under the name uncultured bacterium. RNAcentral describes it as "bacterial SSU rRNA". It matches the Rfam family "Bacterial small subunit ribosomal RNA", at positions 335 to 801 of the family's 1533-position model. The record is from RNAcentral.
ACUCCUACGGGAGGCAGCAGUGGGAAUAUUGCACAAUGGGCGAAAGCCUGAUGCAGCAAUGCCGCGUGUGUGAAGAAGGCCUGCGGGUUGUAAAGCACUUUUAUCGGGAAAGAAAACCAGGGCUAAUACCCUUGGUCUUGACGGUACCCGUUGAAUAAGCACCGGCUAACUCCGUGCCAGCAGCCGCGGUAAUACGGAGGGUGCGAGCGUUAUCCGGAUUUAUUGGGUUUAAAGGGUCCGUAGGCGGGUUAAUAAGUCAGUGGUGAAAUCCCAUCGCUUAACGAUGGAACUGCCAUUGAUACUGUUAGUCUUGAAUGAGGGGUGCAGUGGUUGGAAUGUGUAGUGUAGCGGUGAAAUGCAUAGAUAUUACACAGAACACCGAUUGCGAAGGCAGAUCACUAACCCCUAAAAUUGACGCUGAGGGGACGAAAGCGUGGGGGAGCGAACAGGAUUAGAUACCCUGGUAGGGCUCUGCU